ACGGGUGAGUAACGCGUGGGAAUCUACCGUACCCUACGGAAUAGCUCCGGGAAACUGGAAGUAAUACCGUAUACGCCCUUUUGGGGAAAGAUUUAUCGGGGUAUGAUGAGCCCGCGUUGGAUUAGCUAGUUGGUGGGGUAAAGGCCUACCAAGGCGACGAUCCAUAGCUGGUCUGAGAGGAUGAUCAGCCACAUUGGGACUGAGACACGGCCCAAACUCCUACGGGAGGCAGCAGUGGGGAAUAUUGGACAAUGGGGGCAACCCUGAUCCAGCCAUGCCGCGUGAGUGAUGAAGGUCUUAGGAUUGUAAAGCUCUUUCACCGAUGAAGAUAAUGACGGUAGUCGGAGAAGAAGCCCCGGCAAACUUCGUGCCAGCAGCCGCGGUAAUACGAAGGGGGCUAGCGUUGUUCGGAAUUACUGGGCGUAAAGCGCACGUAGGCGGAUAAUUAAGUCAGGGGUGAAAUCCCGCAGCUCAACUGCGGAACUGCCUUUGAUACUGGUUAUCUUGAGUAUGGAAGAGGUAAGUGGAAUUGCGAGUGUAGAGGUGAAAUUCGUAGA
This 557-nucleotide ribosomal RNA is filed under the name uncultured bacterium. Its description in RNAcentral is "bacterial SSU rRNA". It matches the Rfam family "Bacterial small subunit ribosomal RNA", at positions 102 to 694 of the family's 1533-position model. The record is from RNAcentral.